UACGGAGGGGGCAAGCGUUGUUCGGAGUUACUGGGCGUAAAGCGAGCGCAGACGGUUGAUUAAGUCUGAUGUGAAAGCCCGGAGCUCAACUCCGGAAUGGCAUUGGAAACUGGUUAACUUGAGUGUUGUAGAGGUAAGUGGAACUCCAUGUGUAGCGGUGGAAUGCGUAGAUAUAUGGAAGAACACCAGUGGCGAAGGCGGCUUACUGGACAACAACUGACGUUGAGGCUCGAAAGUGUGGGUAGCAAACAGG
RNAcentral lists this ribosomal RNA (253 nucleotides) under uncultured microorganism. RNAcentral's name for it is "partial 16S ribosomal RNA". It matches the Rfam family "Bacterial small subunit ribosomal RNA", at positions 524 to 776 of the family's 1533-position model. The record is from RNAcentral.